AUUUUUGCUUGUAUUUUGGAGAAACUCGAUUGAUUUCUAGCAAACUUGGUUUACCACUACAUCGUCGCCUAUUGUUAUUUGUUGCUGCUUGGGACAAUAAAGUUAAGUCAGCAACCGUCUACCAGACUGCAAGAUUCAUCUCUUCCAAAGGAUGUCGUACCUUUCCAGAUACACUGUGUUUUGUGUGGAUAAGAAAUGCAGAGUGGUACCACCAAUCACCUAAGCCAUCAUUCCCCUAGCAGACAAUAGGCUCAUGGGGACAGUUCCUGCAAUUUACAGAAAAGCUCUCAAUUGUAGCCCUACGAACUUCAGGCCCAAUGAUCUUGAACCCCCAGCAAUGUUGAUGUUUGCAAUUCAUCAAUGGCUGCAAAGACAGGCAGCUAAUGAUACUGCCGAUGGUGAAGCUUGGGUGCACCGGGCCGGUUUUCCAGCCGUGUGGAAUCAACAUCUCCAGCUGAACUGGGGCCGCGAAUUAUAUAAGACUCCUUAGCAGCAUGGUGAGCUUUUGCGUAUUUAUUUCCAGGCUCAUAUACCCGGCCAGACUUCUGCGUUUAAGCUUUCCUGUCAUCAUUUUUUUAAAUAACGUAUCUCAAGUCUUUCAAUGAAAUCACAACUGUGACACCUUUGGAGGCUAGAUUUAAAUUAAGGAACCAUUAUGUGUAGAAAGCCUUUUGGGUGAUUUAAAAUCAAAUUAGUAAACAGGAUUCUCAUGGUUCAUGGUUUAUAAUUGGCCUUGUGGACCUUUCAUUCUUUACUUUGGUAACAGCCGCUUAAGUAUGUAAGAAGGGGGGGGGUACAGAUGUGAUAGUAAACAGUGUUUAAUAAGGUAUAUUUGUUUUUAUUUUAUCACCAUUUUGAAGGUAAUGAUUUUGUUAAAUCAGGGUUAAGUAACAAGUUUAACACAAACACUGUAACAUGUUCUUUAUUUCAAAUAAAUCUAUAAAUUAUCUCUGGAGAAUUUAGUCUGAUCUCCAUUUUUCAGAAAAUGUUGCUGUCUAAGUGCCUAUUCCAUCAAUGAGUAUCACUGUCUUUAAAUUGCUGUUGCGGUACAGUUUAAAUAGCAAAAGUUUUAUGGCCCUGCUUGUUUGCAACUCCUCAUUCAUUUUUGUACAGCGAGAAAAGUAAGGGAAUUCUAGAGAUUUACUAGAAUUAUGGAUUGUUUUUCUUGAGUUACACAGUACAUAAGGAGGAAUAAGUGUGUACACAACUCCUCAUUUGAUUCCUGUUUAUUAUUUAUAUAUGUAACAUAGAUGUGUACAAGACUUAGAAACAUGACAUAAAAGAGCUCACGUUGAUAAAUUUUCUCAAAAAAAGAUAUCUUUACUGUUAAAGUAAGAACUUUUACUGCAUAGUAAGUAAUGUCUUCUGCUCAUCUUUAUGACAUCAUUACAUGGAAUGGAAACUUCCCAAGAUACAUUUCCACAUGGCGCAGCUCAUUUAUAUAUAUUGCUGAUGGAUUGUUUAGAAAGGGACAGUUUUAAUUGGACAAAAUGUUUUAAUCGCCAUUUUACAGAGUGCCAGCCAGUCAUUGCUGUUCUUGCAUUGCUGAGGAGGACAGUCCUGCCAACAUAACAGUUUGUUCAAUAACAGAUAAAAAACUGAUCUCACUUUACAUUUUCAACCACUGCCAGAUAAUAUAAUCUUAUAUAAUGAUAACUCCUUCUUCACAACUGGUGUUAAAUAUAUAAUGUUUAAACUAACAAUAAAAUGGAAAUUAUGCUCUUUAAACUCAGAACCAUUAUUGACUGUCAGAUGCUACUGGUAAAUGAACUGGUCUUGAUGUCCUUUUCUUGAGAUAAUAACUAUUUGCAUAUUACCCCGGUACUACUAUUGUACAUUCAAUAGAAAAUCGUCUUGUUUGUAUCGUUAAAUGGCUUUAUAAUGUUCCCCACUUCCUGAUUCUUGAAAAUUACGUGAACAAAUGACAAUCCUACUACCAUUUAAAGUUUGAUUAAAUUUCGGACAAAUGUGUUUGUUUUAAUUUGCCUUCUGCUUAAAGUAAGGGUAUAUAUACUGGGCAAGAAGUGCUGAAUUUCAUCGUGAAUGACAGUGAUUAUCCAUAGUUUGAAUUUGGUUCGGACAUGUUUGACGGGAAUUCAAAGACAUUUUUUUGUCAUCAUUUUCGCAUACAUUGGUUCAUUCUAAGAUAAAAAAUAUAACCUUUUUCAAAAUGUUCAAUCUGUGAGAGUGCAGCUUUAAUAGACCUGUAAAGACUUGUCGAUGUGAAACUAAACUCUCAAUCAAACUUUGGUAAAAGAUCAAAUGCGGGGCUCCAUGUGCGGCAUAGACUGAGUUAAUUUUUAUUUAAUAUGAUGAAGAGCUAGUUAAGUUAUCUUUGUUAAAAGUCUUCGUUUGAAGCAAAAUAUGUUUCAAUACCCUGUAUGAAUUUUCUUCACUGGAUAUUGAUUCAUAAAAAACAUUGCUCCAGGGUGCGGAGCUAUUUUUUGCUAUAUGUCUAUAUGGAAAAAUCUUCUCCUCAGAAGUCAACUUUGUUCCCCAAUGUGCAAGGCACAAUCAGUGAAAAUAAUUUCAAUAAAAUCACUGAUUAUUAUUAUUGUUAUUAUUAUUAAUAAACUUUUACUAUUUCAGGAGACAAACAGAAACACAGAGGUCCUAUUCAUUCUGAUGGAAAAACAAAAGCAUCUCCCAUCAUUUUGGCGUGGCUCAGAUCAAGAGGAGAAUUUUAAGAAAGGUGAUGGUUGGGCACACACAAGAAGACAUAGAUCACAGGUGUCUAGCCAUAUGAGUAGAUAGGAGGGUCACACUCUGCCAAACUUACUUUGUCAGACGAGCAGAAAGCUUCUCAAGAUCCCGCACUGCACACUAAGACAUAGUCUUUGACUACAACAAGGUGAUGAAAGUACAGAGAGGUCCAAUUGAAAUCAAUUCUGUGCUGCUGUCAUUUCUUCAUUCUGGAAGUCGAUGGACAUGAUUUAUCAUGGCAUCAAGUGUGCAGUUUGCCGACUAUCAGCAGUCUUGUUCACCGGCUGUGCAACUUGAGCUGGUAGCUUUAUUGCUUGAAGCCACUGCAUAAGAGGGGGAAGGUGCAGGCUCAUCAAAAAGUCUCAAAAUUUGAAACUAGGAAAAGAAGUUUAUCAAGAGUGUGAAUCUAUUUUGAAAACAAUCGUUACAAUGAUUUGGUUUCCUUUGAAACUUGAUACAUACUAUGAAUUGAGAUGCUUAAAUAAAAAACCGCUAUUCAAAUAUCAGGAAACUGCCUUUUUCAUACUAAAGGGUAAAUGAUGUCGCCAUUUCCUGUAUGUAUAAUGAUAUGUCUCCACAAUUAAUAUUUUUAGGGAAUUUUUCUCAACCUAAUGAUUGAGAUUAAAUUGUACAGCGUUAUAUGAGCUUAAUAUGUGUUUUCUCAUUCUUUAAAAUUGGUGAAAAAUUGUCAGAAGAUAAUUAGACCAGUAUCCAUUACUGCAAUCAUACAAUCAAACAUACAGGGACAAGCCCACUGGGCAUAUAAUAUAAUUAAACCCUGUUUAGGGGCACGAGGCAAACAGAGUUACUUUCAAACGUUAAAGCUGCACUCUCACACUUUGGAUGUUUUGACAACCUUUUUCAUUUUAUAUCUUGGAUUGGAACCAUCCAAUUUUUGCGAAAAAAUAAAUCCCAGAUUUUUCUAUUUAAGUUAAAACAUUGAUGUUUUUUAUGCACUUUUCUUAAACCGUUAGUAACAUUAAUUUUCAAACGGAAAUAUGAAAUCUGCGAUCUGAUCUUUUGUCAGCAAUCUUUUAUCAUUGGUUUGCAGAUAAUUACGCAAAAACUUGCUCAUUCGAAGACAAAAAAGUUGUGGAAACGGUAUAUCUGUGAGAGUGCAGCUCUAAAUGUUUAAUUGCUUGAUUUUACUACUGUAUUAGAAAUUACAGGGAUUGGGGUAUAUUUUUAGUGUUUUUAUUGCUUGUUUUUGAUUCAUACAGUCAUACUUUAUUCUUCAGGGCACAACUUACAAAUAAACAAAACUGGAAAAUGGUCAUAUCAAAAGGUCAAAGAUAAUGCAAGUUGAACAAUCAUAUUGUUCAUGGCUUGUAUUUUUGGUAUAUUUUGUUGCAUAUGCUAUAGAAAAGUUGAAAGUUAAAAAUAAAUUCAUAGUUGAAAUGAUGGCUUUGAAUGGUAUUGUCAGAUGAGAAACGGCACUAUUAAGAAAUAGGUAUAAUGGUACUUUAUUUAUUUUAAUCAAUUUUAGAUAUUAUGAAAAUUAUUAUCUUAUUUAGUACAUGAGACCUUUUAAACAGUUAUUGACAAUAUAACAAUGUGUAUAUGAAGCUUUAGAUCAACACUUAAAGCUGCACUCUUACAGAUUGUCAGUUUAGACACAAAAUUGUCUCAAAAUCUGCUGAUUUGGUUAUCAUUCCUUUAAUUCAGUCAUAUUAGAUAAUUCACAAUAGAACCAAUCAAAAAUGUUUGGUAAAACUGCCGAAAAGUUAAUUUACAUUAAAUUGUUCGUAAUGCUUUUAGUCAUUGUAGUUCGUAAUGCUUUUAGUCAUAAAACAUCAUUUUUUUAACAUAAAUAUGAUGAACUGCAAUCUGAUCUUUUUUCAGCAGUCUUAUAUCACUUAAAAUUGGGUCUAGACAUUUCUGCAAAAAAUACUCCAUUUAUUGACAAACAAUAAAAGAGUACCGGAAGUCAAAACGAUCAAUCGGUGAGAUUGCAGCUUUAAAUACACCUUUUAAGACCGCCUGUAAAAUUCCAAUGGUUUGCCUAAAUCUUUAAAGCUAGCAUACUGUUUAAUUGACAACCAUACUUAUUGUUUAAAAGUGUCAUGAUAUCUUUGUACAAUGUUUUUUUAUAUAAUUCAUUAAAGAAGU
This is a long non-coding RNA of Mya arenaria, 4812 nucleotides long. RefSeq lists it as uncharacterized. The transcript is spliced from 6 exons. Lineage: Eukaryota; Metazoa; Mollusca; Bivalvia; Myida; Myidae. The record is from RefSeq and is a predicted model, not a curated record.